RNAcentral lists this unclassified non-coding RNA (242 nucleotides) under Glomeraceae sp. RNAcentral's name for it is "partial contains 5.8S ribosomal RNA and internal transcribed spacer 2". The stretch from base 1 to 70 matches the Rfam family "5.8S ribosomal RNA", at positions 85 to 154 of the family's 154-position model. Lineage: Eukaryota; Fungi; Glomeromycota; Glomeromycetes; Glomerales; Glomeraceae. The record is from RNAcentral.
UGAAUCAUCAAAUUUUUGAACGCAAAUUGCGCUUCCUGGCAUCCCGGGAAGUAUGCCUGUUUGAGGGUCAGUAUUAACAAAAAAUCGGUUUGGUUGUAAAUUGUGACGUUUCCGGAAUUUGGGCUAUCUUAACUUUUUUGGUUAAGGGGCUUAAAAUUGACCUUUUUUGCGCAUUUUUAGACGUGCAUAAAUUUUUUUUUAUUCGUUUUUUUUUUAUUGCAAAAUCUUAUUAAGUUGGAUUA